CCUGAAAUUUGAGAAAACACUUUUGGGCAGCUUUGAAGAAGCCUUAUGCAGUGACAAGUGUGCACCUGAGGAGCAGAGGGAGGGAGUUUCUUUUGGGAAGUGGGGGAUGGAGAAGAGGCAUCAUGCAAAGAAGAUUUAAAAGAACCGAUGUGCUGUCUUGGCUUGCCUCUCCUCUGUGUUGCCAGAGCCUGUGCCUGCCUGCUUCAGGCCUCAGGAGCUGGUGCUGCUGCCUUGCGCAUCCUGCACGAGUGCCAUGGCUGUCAGUGAGCUGGCUAUCCUGAACAAGCUUCUUGCAGUCUGCUUUAAUGCCAGCCACAUCAUUUCUGUGAUAGAUCCAGGUCAUAAAGAAAGCAUGCGACAGAGUUCCAAACAAAAUAGAGGGGAUUACCACCUGACCUGCCUUUGUUCAAGAGCAUCUGUUGACUAUGAAUCACAAAGGGUCGGACUCUUUAGGAAUCCAUCUCACCUCUCAAGAGCAAGUCCUUUCAGCAUGCUUGUACAAACAGAAUGGAUUAUUUCUUAGGCAUGAAUGAAACUGUAGGAGCCCUUUGCUAGAUGGGAAGUGUUAUUUUGGACCAGUCUUCCAUGGUGUUUGAUAAUAAUAUAACAACCUGAUCCUCUGCAUUUAUUUAUGAAAGUAAAUGGAGGCUAGGAAUCAACAUUGGAAAGCUUUUGGUGCUAAUGCAAUAUUACUUCUAGAAUGGUUGCUUGUGUGAUACUUCUAAAAAGAUGAAUCAGCAAAAGUACAAAAGGCAGCAUGCCAAACUGUUUUCUGUCUUGUUCUAUUGGCUCUUACGUGCAAAUUUUAUAAUAGCAGUAGAGGAGGCUGAUAUGACAACAUCUUUCAAAUAUGAAGAAGCUUCUGCCAAGGGGAAAGGAAUAAUCUGUUUUCUAUGUUUAAGAAUUAAUGAUUUAAAUAGCAGGUAGGUUAGAUUAGCUGCUCUGAACCUGUAGUCUGUAGACCCCUGGGGUUCUUUUGAAGGCUCUCUGGUCCAUCUGUCUUUAAGUGUUAGCAGACAUGCUUUUUCCAGUUAAGAGUAAUCGCUCAUGUUGUGAUUUUUUUAUAUGUAGAUUUUUAUUGGCAUCUUCAGGAACAAAGCUGAAGGUAUACUGACAAGUUCCUGAGUAACCUGAUCUGAUCAGACCUGCUUUGAGGAGAGGGUUAAAAUAGGUGACCUCUGGAGGUCCUUUCCACCCUAGAUUAUUCUUUUGUAUUAUGUAUUUUCAGAGAGCUCAGAGACAUCUUUUUGCAAGGUUGCAGGGAGAGGCCAACUUUAGGCCUUUGUAUGUUUUGCCCCAAGAGUACUGAGAUUAUGGCAUGACUCUCAACAUGGCAUGACUCUCAACAGUCUGAGGCAAGUUGCACUAACUUCUAAUGACUAUCACUGUAAGCUGAGACAUAUUAAUUGUGCUAACCCUUUUCUUUGUUCUGUGACAAGGGCAGAGUAGCACAAGCCUAGUUUGACCUUAUAUAUUGGACUACAUGUAAAAUAAACCAAGGCUUGAGACAAAAAACACUAGUAAAAACCUGGGCAUCUUUAAGUUGAAAGAAUUAUUUGGACUAAGAAAAGGCAUUUGGGCAGCUGGAUUAUUUCUAUAAUAAGCAAAGAUAUAAUUACAAUUUCAAAGAAUAUUUUAAAAUGUAUAUGUUGCAGGGAGAACUGGCAAUUGUUUUCUAGGAAUUUCUUCUCUGGCAGCUAGGUGAGGAGGAAGAAGAGUUAUCACAGCCACCCGUAGUCCUUGACUAGAAUCCUGCAUUUACUAUUGCAUUACCGUUCCCUGUUCUCUGUAGCCAAAAGGAAGAGGAAGUUACUGUUAGUACAUGGGGGCAGCUAAAGCUUUAAAUAUUUUCUCUCACCUUAUCUUUGCUUUACCCCUCAUAUUCCUUGGCUUUGUAUUUCAUGAGUCUGGCAUAACCCUAGACAUAGAAACCUCUAAAACUUCAGUGGCUAAGUGAAACAAUGGCAUAUCAAACCAUAGUAUAAGUUUGGUAAGACUUUUUCAGAGACUGAAGAUGUAGAUUAUCUGAGCUACCUGUUUUUCCUCUUUUAUCUGCUUUUCUUUGGUUUAAAAGGGAGGAGGGGAUAGUGGGCUUUAACAGCAGCUCCUAAAAUUCUCUCUUCUUUCUAGCAAGUACAGGUGAUAUAUCUUUGAUAGCUCCUAAAUGCACAUUGAUCAUUUUCAGUUUGGAAGGUUUCAUAUAAUAGCACUGUGUUUGUUACCGAAGACAAGUUCAGAUAUGUUUAUUGAGUUACUGUCUGUUAGAAGAGGGUAUUAGAUGUUCUCCAUGAUGAUAGGCGUCCAGAGCCCUCUCCCACAGCACAUGGACCGCGCUACUCCCCGGAACCAGCUAGGGUUCAGUUUUCAAACAUGACUAGCUGAAGCUCUGCUGGAGUUUCUCAAAGUCCCCAGCAAAGAUGAGAAUUUACUUAGUCAGGAUCUUUUCAACAAGAUGCAGAAAAAUACUUCCGUGGGUAGUUAUAAGGUAGUCUGUCCACUGCCAAAUGUUCUUUCUAAUUUUCUUGUUUAAAAAUAAACAAACAAACAAAAAACUGUCUUAUAUCAUAAACCACAAGUGCCUUUGCAGUAAUUCCAUCCAAGAUCUAAUCAGGUGUUGUGGACAGUAUUGUCUUGUAGUUGUGAAUUGUUCAAGUUAGUUGAUUUCUGUCCUCAUUUUGUAAACACUUAAAUAUUCACAGUCUUUGCUAUAGAGCCCUUCUUCAGAACCUAAGGGUGCAGUUUCUGGAGCUAUUUAAACAUAGAUAACCUUCCAUGCUAAGCGGAAAAAUUCCAUACCUCUCAUCUUCCCUUCCUAGCCUUUAACUUUUGAUCCUUCAGCUCCCUUGUGCUGGUAUUGGUGCUCCUUCAGCUGCAGCAUGAGAUUGAUCAGAGAGGUAGCCUGGGUGAGAACUGAUGCGGGUUAAUGUCACGGGAGAUGGCAGGAACACGCAGAAGGAGGAAGGCAGGAUGUCCCCCUCCUCCUCCUUGGUAGUUUUCCAGACAUAACAGAUUAAACCCAUGGUGAAACGCCAGCCUGACUUUGGAUGAAGGGUGCAGCAUGUUCAAGAUUCACUGCUUUGGGAUGGAGGAACUGCAAGAUAGACUCUAAACUAUUUUCAGUGAUCAAGGAUUGUGGUGUUAAAGCUAACAGGUGAGAUGACAGCCAUACAUCACUUUAGCAAACAGAGCACUUGCUUCCAUGUGCUCUGCUGGGAGUCAGUGGUUCUGUGGGACACAUGCCAGGUGCUUCAGGAGCAUCCUCUAGCCAUAUAUCUCACAGGGCAGGCAGAAGGAAUGUGCUAAGCAAUAGCCUCACUCGCAGGCUUCCAGAUGACAAACAUUGCUUAAACGAGUCCAUUAAAGUAAAAUAAACCCUUCUCAAUGUACAUGGGGAACAUAUAUAACACAAUAUAUGAAGCACAUCUAUAUUUGAUAUAUUUAAAACCUGAAUCUAUGAGAAUGGUGUAGUAUAUACUUUGAAUAAGAUACAUUCAGAGCUGCCGAAUGGGAAGCAGGGUGUUUUGAGAAAAUUUGUGAUCUUCUGAAAUAUGUUCAUAUUCUGAGAGAGGUAUGUAAGAUAUAGGACAACAAAGUACGUAUUUUCAUGGAGAUGUGAUCCAGCUGGUCUGCUGAGGCUUUGGAGAAUGCACUUUAUGCCUCUUGAGACUAACUAGAUAGCCUUUCUAAACAUGAAGACAUUUGAGAAAGUUUUACAUUUUGGAGGCCAUCUGUCCUCUAACCCUCUCCCAGGGCAGUUUUCUCCUGCAACUCCACAGCCUUUGGAAGUAAUGUAGCUACAGCAGACAAGUGGAAGUAAGGAGCUUUAUGUUCAGCAGAGCUAGUUUUUCAAGCAACAUAAAAUCCACCAAAACACCUGGGUGGAAGGAGGAAAGUCAGGAAUGGAGAAGAAAAUCUGUGAGUGCUGGAUGGUGCUUUGUCUGGGUCCUGGAAACGGGAAAUAAAGACAACUGAAGGAGAGAGAGAAAAAAAUAAAAUAUAAAGAGGGAGUACGGAACAGAAAAGUGUGUCAAAGCCUGGGUCAGUGAGUUAUGUCAUGAAGUGAUGUGUCUUGUUGGCCCAGUGGGGUUGAACUAGAAGGACAUAAGCAUAGUAUUGAAAUCUUCAACGAAAGAGAUGAGAACAGGUCAAGAAUAGACCUUUGUAUCCUGCUAGCAGCUUGUGAAAGGGAGGCAAGAUCCUUGCUACAUGUCACCGUAAGUCAAGUAUGUUGCAGCAUGAUUGUUCCAUGAUUUUAGGUUUGUGGGUAAGGAGGGUGAUGAAGUAAUAGAAGGUAAAAUCACCCCCCUUUUGGGGGGCAAAAAAUGUCAUGGUGGGCUGGUGAGAGAUGAGAGUACGGUAGCACGUGGAGAGAGAUGAGAGCCAGACUGCAGAGAGAAGGGAGAAUGUAGUACGGCGAAAAGAACGCUGAAGUUCAAAUGAUCUUGUCCUGGUUUGGGCAUCAUGCUUUAGGAUUCUUGCAGUGCUGUUCCAUCAGGCUGGUGAUAGUGCCCUCUGGAAGGUACCACACUUACCUAUAGGGAGCCCUGAUGAUAAUAGGCUCUGUGCUCUCUAGUGAGGGACCAUUCAAACAAGUCAUCUGGAACCAAUGGGGUUUGUGCUUUUCUGUAUACUUCCUUUGUCAGCCUAAAAGUCUGUUGAGAUACAAACUACAUUGUAAUAAUUUCCAUGUAAGACAGCAAAGGUUGUUAUUUAAAAUAAAAUUUGGUCUGAUAUACCUUCCCUGGCAAAUAAGCUUGAAUAAUUAAAGGAUUUUAACAAUAAAAAAGUACCUGUUUCAAUUAUGUUUCAGAGGGUUAAAAUCUACCACCUUGUCUAAGUGCAGAAAGAACAGGUGGCAAAAUGAGGUUUCUCUCCACAACUUAAAUGAAAUCAGUCCUCACCAACCCCAGUUAGUUCUUUGCCUGCUUGUUCCUGUGUUAAUUUAAUAUGGAUCUUCAUAGGGGCUUAAUUUGAGAGCAAGGAGGCAGCAGCUAUGUUCUGUCUCCUAUC
Cygnus atratus (black swan) is the source of this 5010-nucleotide long non-coding RNA. RefSeq lists it as uncharacterized. Lineage: Eukaryota; Metazoa; Chordata; Aves; Anseriformes; Anatidae. The transcript is spliced from 3 exons. The record is from RefSeq and is a predicted model, not a curated record.